This is a small RNA of Treponema denticola ATCC 35405, 100 nucleotides long. It matches the Rfam family "TD-2 RNA". Rfam says of the family: non coding RNA found in Treponema denticola The record is from Rfam. NCBI's taxonomy places the organism in Bacteria, Pseudomonadati, Spirochaetota, Spirochaetia, Treponematales, Treponemataceae.
AGUUUGUUUACAAACUGCAUACAAUAAUGCGACGUUUGCCGAAAGGCAAACUCGGCAGAUAAACAGUGAGGCUGAAUUUCUGCCGAACUGUUUAUCACAC